CUCACAUCAGGGAGAUGAGGAAAGGAAGCUUCGGCCUCCGCUCUCUGGAUGGUCCCGUGGUCCAUUAGCUUGUUGGUGAGGUAAUGUGCUACCAAGGCG
This 99-nucleotide ribosomal RNA is filed under the name uncultured Rubrobacterales bacterium. RNAcentral's name for it is "partial 16S ribosomal RNA". Lineage: Bacteria; Bacillati; Actinomycetota; Rubrobacteria; Rubrobacterales. The record is from RNAcentral.